This 117-nucleotide ribosomal RNA is filed under the name Capra hircus (goat). The record is from RNAcentral. Lineage: Eukaryota; Metazoa; Chordata; Mammalia; Artiodactyla; Bovidae.
GUCUACGGCCAUACCACCCUGAACGCGCCCGAUCUCGUCUGAUCUCGGAAGCUAAGCAGGGUCGGGCCGGUUAGUACUUGGAUGGGGACCGCCUGGGAAUACCGGGUGCUGUAGGCU